ACGGAAGGCAGCAGUGGGGAAUAUUGGGCAAUGGGCGAAAGCCUGACCCAGUAACGCCGCGUGAAGGAAGAAGGUCUUCGGAUUGUAAACUUCUUUUAUGAGGGACGAAGGACGUGACGGUACCUCAUGAAUAAGACACGGCUAACUACGUGCCAGCAGCCGCGGUAAUACGUAGGUGGCAAGCGUUAUCCGGAUUUACUGGGUGUAAAGGGCGCGUAGGCGGGGAUGCAAGUCAGAUGUGAAAUCUAUGGGCUUAACUUAUAAACUGCAUUUGAAACUGUAUUUCUUGAGUGCUGGAGAGGUAGAUGGAAUUCCUUGUGUAGCGGUGAAAUGCGUAGAUAUAAGGAAGAACACCAGUGGCGAAGGCGAUCUACUGGACAGUAACUGACGCUGAGGCGCGAAAGCGUGGGGAGCAAACAGGAUUAGAUACCCUGGUA
This 437-nucleotide ribosomal RNA is filed under the name uncultured Oscillospiraceae bacterium. RNAcentral describes it as "partial 16S ribosomal RNA". It matches the Rfam family "Bacterial small subunit ribosomal RNA", at positions 341 to 792 of the family's 1533-position model. The record is from RNAcentral. Lineage: Bacteria; Bacillati; Bacillota; Clostridia; Eubacteriales; Oscillospiraceae.